This 432-nucleotide ribosomal RNA is filed under the name uncultured bacterium. RNAcentral describes it as "bacterial SSU rRNA". It matches the Rfam family "Bacterial small subunit ribosomal RNA", at positions 971 to 1401 of the family's 1533-position model. The record is from RNAcentral.
UUACCAACCUUUGACAUCCCGAUCGCGGGCACCAGAGAUGGAGCCUUUCAGUUCGGCUGGAUCGGAGACAGGUGCUGCAUGGCUGUCGUCAGCUCGUGUCGUGAGAUGUUGGGUUAAGUCCCGCAACGAGCGCAACCCUCGCCCUUAGUUGCCAUCAUUCAGUUGGGCACUCUAAGGGGACUGCCGGUGAUAAGCCGGAGGAAGGUGGGGAUGACGUCAAGUCCUCAUGGCCCUUACAGGUUGGGCUGCACACGUGCUACAAUGGCGGUGACAGAGGGAUGCAAUGGAGCAAUCCUGCGCAAAUCUCAAAAAGCCGUCUCAGUUCGGAUUGUGCUCUGCAACUCGAGCACAUGAAGUUGGAAUCGCUAGUAAUCGCAGAUCAGCACGCUGCGGCGAAUACGUUCCCGGGCCUUGUACACACCGCCCGUCACA